GAGGGUAACUAGAGUGCGGGCUUUGCCUGCCAUCUCUUACCCAUGUCUUUUGAGUACCUUACGUUUCCUCGGCGGGUCCGCCCGCCGACUGGACAAUUUAAACCACUUGCAGUUGCAAUCAGCGUCUGAAAAAACUUAAUAGUUACAACUUUCAACAACGGAUCUCUUGGUUCUGGCAUCGAUGAAGAACGCAGCGAAAUGCGAUAAGUAGUGUGAAUUGCAGAAUUCAGUGAAUCAUCGAAUCUUUGAACGCACAUUGCGCCCCUUGGUAUUCCAUGGGGCAUGCCUGUUCGAGCGUCAUUUGUACCUUCAAGCCUUGCUUGGUGUUGGGUGUUUGUCUCGCCUCUGCGCGUAGACUCGCCUCAAAACAAUUGGCAGCCGGCGUAUUGAUUUCGGAGCGCAGUACAUCUCGCGCUUUGCACUCAGAACGACGACGUCCAAAAGUACAUUUUUACACUCUUGACCUCGGAUCAGGUAGGGAUACCCGCUGAACUUAAGCAUAUCAAAA
This 508-nucleotide ribosomal RNA is filed under the name Phoma sp. HGPJ-4. Its description in RNAcentral is "eukaryotic LSU rRNA". The stretch from base 147 to 300 matches the Rfam family "5.8S ribosomal RNA". Lineage: Eukaryota; Fungi; Ascomycota; Dothideomycetes; Pleosporales; Didymellaceae. The record is from RNAcentral.